This 93-nucleotide non-coding RNA is filed under the name unclassified sequences. RNAcentral describes it as "PhotoRC-II RNA". It matches the Rfam family "PhotoRC-II RNA". The record is from RNAcentral.
GUACGUUACAUUCUCCUCAAACCGAGACCUAUAGGGAAUUAAAACACGUCUCUAAUACCAACCCUGGAGGGUAGGGUUGGAAUACUUAUAUCA